Molecule: ribosomal RNA, 497 nt
Filed under: uncultured bacterium
Lineage: Bacteria
Description: partial 16S ribosomal RNA
Rfam family: Bacterial small subunit ribosomal RNA
Source: RNAcentral
GAUGAACGCUGGCGGCGUGCCUAAUACAUGCAAGUCGAGCGAACAGACGAGGAGCUUGCUCCUCUGACGUUAGCGGCGGACGGGUGAGUAACACGUGGAUAACCUACCUAUAAGACUGGGAUAACUUCGGGAAACCGGAGCUAAUACCGGAUAAUAUAUUGAACCGCAUGGUUCAAUAGUGAAAGACGGUUUUGCUGUCACUUAUAGAUGGAUCCGCGCCGCAUUAGCUAGUUGGUAAGGUAACGGCUUACCAAGGCUACGAUGCGUAGCCGACCUGAGAGAGUGAUCGGCCACACUGGAACUGAGACACGGUCCAGACUCCUACGGGAGGCAGCAGUAGGGAAUCGUCCGCAAUGGGCGAAAGCCUGACGGAGCAACGCCGCGUGAGUGAUGAAGAUCUUCGGAUCGUAAAACUCUGUUAUUAGGGAAGAACAAAUGUGUAAGGAACUAUGCACGUCGUGACGGUACCUAAUCAGAAAGCCACGGCUAACUACGUG